Molecule: ribosomal RNA, 492 nt
Filed under: uncultured bacterium
Lineage: Bacteria
Description: partial 16S ribosomal RNA
Rfam family: Bacterial small subunit ribosomal RNA
Source: RNAcentral
AGUGAACGCUGGCGGUAGGCCUAACACAUGCAAGUCGAACGGCAGCACAGUAAGAGCUUGCUCUUACGGGUGGCGAGUGGCGGACGGGUGAGGAAUACAUCGGAAUCUACUUUUUCGUGGGGGAUAACGUAGGGAAACUUACGCUAAUACCGCACACGACCUACGGGUGAAAGCAGGGGAUCUUCGGACCUUGCGCGAUUGAAUGAGCCGAUGUCGGAUUAGCUAGUUGGCGGGGUAAAGGCCCACCAAGGCGACGAUCCGUAGCUGGUCUGAGAGGAUGAUCAGCCACACUGGAACUGAGACACGGUCCAGACUCCUACGGGAGGCAGCAGUGGGGAAUAUUGGACAAUGGGCGCAAGCCUGAUCCAGCCAUACCGCGUGGGUGAAGAAGGCCUUCGGGUUGUAAAGCCCUUUUGUUGGGAAAGAAAAGCAGCAGGUUGAUACCCCGCUGUUCUGACGGUACCCAAAGAAUAAGCACCGGCUAACUUCGUG